GAAUAUUGGACAAUGGGCGCAAGCCUGAUCCAGCCAUGCCGCGUGAGUGAAGAAGGCCUUCGGGUUGUAAAGCUCUUUUGUCCGGAAAGAAAAGCUUCGGGUUAAUACCCUGGAGUCCUGACGGUACCGGAGGAAUAAGCACCGGCUAACUUCGUGCCAGCAGCCGCGGUAAUACGAAGGGUGCAAGCGUUACUCGGAAUUACUGGGCGUAAAGCGUGCGUAGGUGGUUUGUUAAGUCUGAUGUGAAAGCCCUGGACUCAACCUGGGAAUGGCAUUGGAUACUGGCAGGCUAGAGUGCGGUAGAGGGUAGUGGAAUUCCCGGUGUAGCAGUGAAAUGCGUAGAGAUCGGGAGGAACAUCUGUGGCGAAGGCGACUACCUGGACCAGCACUGACACUGAGGCACGAAAGCGUGGGGAGCAAACAGG
This 425-nucleotide ribosomal RNA is filed under the name uncultured bacterium. Its description in RNAcentral is "bacterial SSU rRNA". It matches the Rfam family "Bacterial small subunit ribosomal RNA", at positions 359 to 776 of the family's 1533-position model. The record is from RNAcentral.